This 328-nucleotide ribosomal RNA is filed under the name uncultured bacterium. RNAcentral's name for it is "bacterial SSU rRNA". It matches the Rfam family "Bacterial small subunit ribosomal RNA", at positions 29 to 342 of the family's 1533-position model. The record is from RNAcentral.
AACGAACGCUGGCGGCGUGGAUAAGACAUGCAAGUCGAACGGGUUUUCAUUUGUAGCAAUACAGGUGGGAAUCAGUGGCGCAAGGGUGCGUAACACGUGGGCAACCUGCCCUGGAGACUGGGAUAGCCCGCCGAAAGGCGGAUUAAUACCGGAUGCGGCUACCAAAGGACUCUUUGGGACGCUAAAGGUGGCGCAAGCUACCGCUCUUGGAUGGGCCCGCGGCCUAUCAGCUAGUUGGUGAGGUUACGGCUCACCAAGGCGAUGACGGGUAGCUGGUCUGAGAGGACGACCAGCCACACUGGAACUGAGACACGGUCCAGACACCUAC